Homo sapiens (human) is the source of this 321-nucleotide long non-coding RNA. Ensembl annotates it as LMO7 downstream neighbor. Its record names the gene LMO7DN. The record is from Ensembl. NCBI's taxonomy places the organism in Eukaryota, Metazoa, Chordata, Mammalia, Primates, Hominidae.
UACCCAGAAGGAUCCUGAAGCUCACAGAGGUUAUGUAGCCUGCCUAAGGUUACCCAGCUAGCAACUGGCAAAGCUAGGAGUUGCUGCAGAAUAGCAAGCCUAUCACUCACAAUGGCCAGAAAUCAGAACAAAUGAUCAUUACAAACAACCCAUGUAGACAGUUUUCUAUCGUAAGGCAGUGAUUUUUGAGUCCAUAGAUGGGCCAGUAGGAAGUCUACACUGAAAUCAGCAUUGUGCCUGAUACUGAGAGGAAUAAAGUUGAUAGGAAGGAGCAAUCAGAAAGCUUUGGCUGAAAAGAAUGAUUUAAACCACUGGAGAAAA